UUGAACGCUGGCGGCAGGCCUAACACAUGCAAGUCGAGCGGAUGAAGGGAGCUUGCUCCUGGAUUCAGCGGCGGACGGGUGAGUAAUGCCUAGGAAUCUGCCUGGUAGUGGGGGAUAACGUCCGGAAACGGGCGCUAAUACCGCAUACGUCCUGAGGGAGAAAGUGGGGGAUCUUCGGACCUCACGCUCUCAGAUGAGCCUAGGUCGGAUUAGCUAGUUGGUGGGGUAAAGGCCUACCAAGGCGACGAUCCGUAACUGGUCUGAGAGGAUGAUCAGUCACACUGGAACUGAGACACGGUCCAGACUCCUACGGGAGGCAGCAGUGGGGAAUAUUGGACAAAGGGCGAAAGCCUGAUCCAGCCAUGCCGCGUGUGUGAAGAAGGUCUUCGGAUUGUAAAGCACUUUAAGUUGGGAGGAAGGGCAGUAAGUUAAUACCUUGCUGUUUUGACGUUACCAACAGAAUAAGCACCGGCUAACUUCGUG
This 483-nucleotide ribosomal RNA is filed under the name uncultured bacterium. RNAcentral's name for it is "partial 16S ribosomal RNA". It matches the Rfam family "Bacterial small subunit ribosomal RNA", at positions 30 to 507 of the family's 1533-position model. The record is from RNAcentral.